Non-coding RNA from Gymnopus androsaceus JB14, 96 nucleotides. NCBI's taxonomy places the organism in Eukaryota, Fungi, Basidiomycota, Agaricomycetes, Agaricales, Omphalotaceae. The record is from the annotation of a GenBank genome assembly.
GGGCAUAUGGUGUAGGGGUUAUCACGUUCGCUUUGCAUGAAAGUGUAAAUGAUUCCUGCAUGCGAAAGGUCUCCGGUUCAAAUCCGGAUUUGUCCA